GGCCCGCACCACAGAACGCCUGAGAUUUUCACCAGCAUCAUGCGGAUCCUGUUGCUCCUUGUCUCCUUGGCUGCCCUCGGCCACGGCGCGGUACCAGUUCACAACUCUACCAGGAAAGGUCCCUGUCCAGACCCUGCCGGCAAAAACUCCCAGUUCACACACUGCCUGGACAUGUCCCUGUCCAGACCCUGCCCGGAAAGGUCCCAGUUCACACCCUGCCCGGAAAGCUACCUGUCCAAACCCUGCCUGGACAUGUGCCUGUCCAGACCCUGCCCGGAAAGCUUCCUGUCCAGACCCUGCCAGGAAAGCUCCCUGUUCAUUCCCUGCAAACCGGGCCGCACGUGUCCCUGUCCCGCCCUUACUCCGGAUAUAGCUACGGCUCCAGAACAAGCUGCCGGAGGAGGUGCCCCGCCUCUGCCUCUCUUCAGGCAAUCUGCUGCAGGCGCUGGGGCUCUUGCUGCUACAGGACACCCUACAGUGGCUAAUCAACGCCUUCCUGUACCAAUGAUGACCAUCGCUUUGGACUGAAUUCUGGAUACGAAGCAAACACAUCACCUGUGAAGAUGGAGGGAGUGUUGUGUUGGGUGGAGAGAAGCCUUCUGCUGUACUGUCCUGUUUAGUAGUUAAUUAAGAAUAGUUCUUUAACAGCCACGCAGAUACGCAAAGCUUUUUUUUUCCAGUGUAAUGCUGUAAACUUGUAAGCAUCGUGGAUUUAAAAUGUUUUCCUUGUAUUUCUACGUUAGUUUCGUAGACUUUUUUUUUCUUUAGUUUUAAAAAGGUCAGGUUUACGAAUUUUUCUUUGUGUCUUUUCCACUUUUAAACUUCUUACAUUGUUGGCAUUCUAUUAGGUAAGCCUGUCUCUUACUUUGAUCCUUAACCUUAACUCCAGGUGGCUGACUCGUAACCAUAUCCUUGUGAAAUAAAUUAUAGCGCAGU
Long non-coding RNA from Scylla paramamosain (green mud crab), 936 nucleotides. RefSeq lists it as uncharacterized. The record is from RefSeq and is a predicted model, not a curated record. Lineage: Eukaryota; Metazoa; Arthropoda; Malacostraca; Decapoda; Portunidae. The transcript is spliced from 2 exons.